GCCCGGGUAGCUCAGUAGGUAGAGCGUGAGGCUUUUAACCUAACGGUCCAGGGUUCCAGCCCCUGCUCGGGCG
Molecule: transfer RNA, 73 nt
Filed under: Rhipicephalus sanguineus (brown dog tick)
Lineage: Eukaryota; Metazoa; Arthropoda; Arachnida; Ixodida; Ixodidae
Description: transfer RNA lysine (anticodon UUU)
Rfam family: tRNA
About the family: Transfer RNA (tRNA) molecules are approximately 80 nucleotides in length.
Source: Rfam by way of RNAcentral